Long non-coding RNA from Oxyura jamaicensis (ruddy duck), 71 nucleotides. RefSeq lists it as uncharacterized. Lineage: Eukaryota; Metazoa; Chordata; Aves; Anseriformes; Anatidae. The record is from RefSeq and is a predicted model, not a curated record. The transcript is spliced from 3 exons.
GCCACAUCUGGAGUGCCAUGACCAGGUCUGGUCUCCCCAGUAUGAGAGAGACAUGGAGCUACAGUAGACAG